CCAGACUCCUACGGGAGGCAGCAGUGGGGAAUAUUGCACAAUGGGGGAAACCCUGAUGCAGCGACGCCGCGUGAGUGAAGAAGUAUUUCGGUAUGUAAAGCUCUAUCAGCAGGGAAGAAAAUGACGGUACCUGACUAAGAAGCCCCGGCUGACUACGUGCCAGCAGCCGCGGUAAUACGUAGGGGGCAAGCGUUAUCCGGAUUUACUGGGUGUAAAGGGAGCGUAGACGGCAUGGCAAGUCAGAUGUGAAAGCCCGGGGCUCAACCCCGGGACUGCAUUUGAAACUGUCAGGCUGGAGUGCAGGAGAGGUAAGUGGAAUUCCUAGUGUAGCGGUGAAAUGCGUAGAUAUUAGGAGGAACACCAGUGGCGAAGGCGGCCUGCUGGACGAUGACUGACGUUGAGGCUCGAAAGCGUGGGGAGCAAACAGGAUUAGAUACCCCAGUAUUG
Molecule: ribosomal RNA, 447 nt
Filed under: uncultured bacterium
Lineage: Bacteria
Description: bacterial SSU rRNA
Rfam family: Bacterial small subunit ribosomal RNA
Source: RNAcentral